GGGCGAGAGCCUGAACCAGCCAAGUAGCGUGAAGGAUGACUGCCCUAUGGGUUGUAAACUUCUUUUAUUAAAGGAAUAAAGUCGGGUAUGGAUACCCGUUUGCAUGUACUUUAUGAAUAAGGAUCGGCUAACUCCGUGCCAGCAGCCGCGGUAAUACGGAGGAUCCGAGCGUUAUCCGGAUUUAUUGGGUUUAAAGGGAGCGUAGAUGGAUGUUUAAGUCAGUUGUGAAAGUUUGCGGCUCAACCGUAAAAUUGCAGUUGAUACUGGAUAUCUUGAGUGCAGUUGAGGCAGGCGGAAUUCGUGGUGUAGCGGUGAAAUGCUUAGAUAUCACGAAGAACUCCGAUUGCGAAGGCAGCCUGCUAAGCUGCAACUGACAUUGAGGCUCGAAAGUGUGGGUAUCAAACAGGAUUAGAUACCCUGGUAGUCCACACGGUAAACGAUGAAUACUCGCUGUUUGCGAUAUACAGCAAGCGGCCAAGCGAAAGCGUUAAGUAUUCCACCUGGGGAGUACGCCGGCAACGGUGAAACUCAAAGGAAUUGACGGGGGCCCGCACAAGCGGAGGAACAUGUGGUUUAAUUCGAUGAUACGCGAGGAACCUUACCCGGGCUU
This 610-nucleotide ribosomal RNA is filed under the name human gut metagenome. RNAcentral describes it as "bacterial SSU rRNA". It matches the Rfam family "Bacterial small subunit ribosomal RNA", at positions 373 to 982 of the family's 1533-position model. The record is from RNAcentral.